GACGAACGCUGGCGGCGUGCUUAACACAUGCAAGUCAAGGGGGCCCAGCAAUGGGCAACCGGCGAACGGGUGCGUAACACGUGAGCAACCUACCGAACUGUGGGGGGAUAGCCGGCCUAACGGCCGAGUAAUACCGCAUACGCUCUCAGAGAGGCAUUUCUUUGAGAGGAAACCUACGGGACAGAUCGAGGGGCUCGCGGCCUAUCAGCUAGUUGGCGAGGUAACGGCNCACCAAGGCAACGACGGGUAGCUGGUCUGAGAGGAUGGCCAGCCACAUUGGGACUGAGAUACGGCCCAGACUCCUACGGGAGGCAGCAGUGGGGAAUCUUGCGCAAUGGCCUAACGGCUGACGCAGCGACGCCGCGUGU
RNAcentral lists this ribosomal RNA (368 nucleotides) under uncultured bacterium. RNAcentral describes it as "bacterial SSU rRNA". It matches the Rfam family "Bacterial small subunit ribosomal RNA", at positions 28 to 404 of the family's 1533-position model. The record is from RNAcentral.